UACGGAGGCGCAAGCGUUACUCGGAAUCACUGGCGUAAGAGCGUGUAGGCGGUUGUAAGUUGGAGUGAAUCCUAUGGCUCAACCAUAGAACUGCUUCCAAACUGCUUACCUAGAAUGAGGAGAGGUAGAUGGAAUUUCUGGUGUAGGGGUAAAUCCGUAGAGAUCAGAAGGAUACCGAUUGCGAAGGCGAUCUACUGGAACUUUAUGACGCUGAGACGCGAAAGCGUGGGGAGCAAACAGG
This 241-nucleotide ribosomal RNA is filed under the name uncultured bacterium. Its description in RNAcentral is "partial 16S ribosomal RNA". It matches the Rfam family "Bacterial small subunit ribosomal RNA", at positions 524 to 776 of the family's 1533-position model. The record is from RNAcentral.